Molecule: long non-coding RNA, 1398 nt
Filed under: Salmo salar (Atlantic salmon)
Lineage: Eukaryota; Metazoa; Chordata; Actinopteri; Salmoniformes; Salmonidae
Description: lncRNA (ENSSSAG00000084636.1)
Source: RNAcentral
AGGGGCUGGUAGUGAUGUAGCUAGGUGGUUGUAUUAGGGGUUGUGGUGUAGCUAGGUGGUUGUAUUAGGGGUUGUGAUGUAGCUAGGUGGUUGUAUUAGGGGUUGUGAUGUAGCUAGGCUGUUGUAUUAGGGGUUGUGGUGUAGCUAGGUGGUUGUAUUAGGGGUUGUGAUGUAGCUAGGUGGUUGUAUUAGGGGUUGUGGUGUAGCUAGGUGGUUGUAUUAGGGGUUGUGGUGUAGCUCGGUGGUUGUAUUAGAUGCUGGUUGUGGUGUAGCUAGGUGGUUAUAUUAGGGGUUGUGAUGUAGCUAGGUGGUUGUAUUAGGGGUUGUGGUGUAGCUAAGUGGUUGUAUUAGGGGUUGUGAUGUAGCUAGGUGGUUGUAUUAGGGGUUGUGAUGUAGCUAGGUGGUUGUAUUAGGGGCUGGUAGUGAUGUAGCUAGGUGGUUGUAUUAGGGGUUGUGAUGUAGCUAGGUGGUUGUAUUAGGGGUUGUGAUGUAGCUAGGUGGUUGUAUUAGGGGUUGUGAUGUAGCUAGCUGGUUGUAUUAGGGGUUGUAAUGUAGCUAGGUGGUUGUAUUAGGGGCUGGUAGUGAUGUAGCUAGGUGGUUGUAUUAGGGGUUGUGAUGUAGCUAGGUGGUUGUAUUAGGGGUUGUGAUGUAGCUAGGUGGUUAUAUUAGGGGUUGUGGUGAUGUAGCUAGGUGGUUGUAUUAGGGGUUGUGGUGAUGUAGCUAGGGGGUUGUAUUAGGGGUUGUGAUGUAGCUAGGUGGUUGUAUUAGGGGUUGUGGUGAUGUAGCUAGGGGGUUGUAUUAGGGGUUGUGAUGUAGCUAGGGGGUUGUAUUAGGGGUUGUGAUGUAGCUAGGUGGUUGUAUUAGGGGUUGUGAUGUAGCUAGGUGGUUGUAUUAGGGGUUGUGGUGUAGCUAGGUGGUUGUAUUAGGGGUUGUGAUGUAGCUAGGUGGUUGUAUUAGGGGUUGUGAUGUAGCUAGGUGGUUGUAUUAGGGGUUGUGAUGUAGCUAGGUGGUUGUAUUAGGGGUUGUGGUGUAGCUAGGUGGUUAUAUUAGGGGCAGGUCGUGUGUGUACAUGCGAGCAUUAUCAGUCCGGCCGUGGUGGAGGAUACGGGGGCCGGUUCUGGUGGGCCGGUCUGGAUCAAAGUCCAGGGCCAUUCCGCCCCUGCUCUGAGACACUUUGUGGAUACGGGCCCUGAAGAGAUAAGCUUUGUGUUAGCAUUAAGCACAAUAGUGAUGGAUCCACCUAUUCAUCCUAUGUUCUUAGGGAAGGCAGCCAUAUUGUAGACCUAUCAGAGUUUUGAAUUAAAAGGCAAGCAAAGGAGGUAGAGGCUCAGGAAAGUGGCUGGGCUUGUUUUCACAUAGAUCCAGAUAGAAAUACAGUAGAAAUUAAACAGUUAUGGC